This 253-nucleotide ribosomal RNA is filed under the name uncultured bacterium. RNAcentral's name for it is "partial 16S ribosomal RNA". It matches the Rfam family "Bacterial small subunit ribosomal RNA", at positions 524 to 776 of the family's 1533-position model. The record is from RNAcentral.
UACGAAGGGUGCAAACGUUGCUCGGAAUUAUUGGGCGUAAAGCGCACGUAGGCGGCUUGGCAAGUCGGAUGUGAAAUCCCUCGGCUCAACCAAGGAAGUGCAUCCGAAACUGCUGAGCUUGAGUACUUAAGAGGAUCGCGGAAUUCCCGGUGUAGAGGUGAAAUUCGUAGAUAUCGGGAGGAACACCAGUGGCGAAGGCGGCGAUCUGGGAAGAUACUGACGCUGAGGUGCGAAAGCGGUGGGAGCAAACAGG